AUUGAACGCUGGCGGCAGGCCUAACACAUGCAAGUCGAACGACUGGCGGACGGGUGAGUAAUGUCUGGGAAACUGCCCGAUGGAGGGGGAUAACUACUGGAAACGGUAGCUAAUCCCGCAUAACAUCAGAUGUGCCCAGUUGGGAUUAGCUUGUUGGUGGGGUAACGGCUCACCAAGGCGACGAUCCCUAGCUGGUCUGAGAGGAUGACCAGUAACACUGGAACGGAGACACGGACCAGACUCCGACGGGAGGCAGCAGUGAGGAAUAUUGGACAAUGGGCGGAAGGCUGAUGCGGCCAUUCGGCGUAUAUGAAGAAGGGCUUCGGGUUGUAAAGUACGUUCAGCGGGGAGGCGGUACCAGAAGAAGAAGCACCGGCUAACUCCGUGCCAGCAGCCGCGGUAAUAC
This 406-nucleotide ribosomal RNA is filed under the name uncultured bacterium. Its description in RNAcentral is "partial 16S ribosomal RNA". It matches the Rfam family "Bacterial small subunit ribosomal RNA", at positions 29 to 526 of the family's 1533-position model. The record is from RNAcentral.